AUUGAACGCUGGCGGCAUGCCUUACACAUGCAAGUCGAACGGUAACAGGUCUUCGGAUGCUGACGAGUGGCGAACGGGUGAGUAAUACAUCGGAACGUGCCCGAUCGUGGGGGAUAACGUGGCGAAAGCUUUGCUAAUACCGCAUACGAUCUACGGAUGAAAGCGGGGGAUCUUCGGACCUCGCGCGGACGGAGCGGCCGAUGGCAGAUUAGGUAGUUGGUGGGAUAAAAGCUUACCAAGCCGACGAUCUGUAGCUGGUCUGAGAGGAUGAUCAGCCACACUGGGACUGAGACACGGCCCAGACUCCUACGGGAGGCAGCAGUGGGGAAUUUUGGACAAUGGGCGAAAGCCUGAUCCAGCCAUGCCGCGUGCAGGAUGAAGGCCUUCGGGUUGUAAACUGCUUUUGUACGGAACGAAAAGCCUCUUUCUAAUAAAGAGGGGUCAUGACGGUACCGUAAGAAUAAGCACCGGCUAACUACGUG
Molecule: ribosomal RNA, 482 nt
Filed under: uncultured bacterium
Lineage: Bacteria
Description: partial 16S ribosomal RNA
Rfam family: Bacterial small subunit ribosomal RNA
Source: RNAcentral